GAUGAACGCUAGCUACAGGCUUAACACAUGCAAGUCGAGGGGUAACGAGAGGGAAGCUUGCUUUCCUUGUCGACGACCGGCGCACGGGUGAGUAACGCGUAUCCAACCUGCCCCCAACUAGGGAAUAACCUUGCGAAAGUAAGACUAAUACCCUAUAAUUUCCUCAGAUGUCAUCUGACGAGGAAUAAAGAUUUAUCGGUUGUGGAUGGGGAUGCGUCUGAUUAGCUUGUUGGCGGGGUAACGGCCCACCAAGGCAACGAUCAGAAGGGGUUCUGAGAGGAAGGUCCCCCACAUUGGAACUGGGACACGGGCCAAACUCCUACGGGAGGCAGCAGGGAGGAAUAUUGGUCAAUGGGCGGAAGCCUGAGCCAGCCAAGUAGCGUGCAGGAUGACGGCCCUAUGGGUUGUAAACUGCUUUUAUACAGGAAUAAAGUUAGCCACGUGUGGUUAUUUGUAGGUACUGUAUGAAUAAGGACCGGCUAAUUCCGUGCCAGCCGCCGCCGUAA
Molecule: ribosomal RNA, 506 nt
Filed under: uncultured bacterium
Lineage: Bacteria
Description: partial 16S ribosomal RNA
Rfam family: Bacterial small subunit ribosomal RNA
Source: RNAcentral